GACGAACGCUGGCGGCGUGCUUAACACAUGCAAGUCGAACGGAAAGGCCCUGCUUGCAGGGUACUCGAGUGGCGAACGGGUGAGUAACACGUGGGUGAUCUGCCCUGCACUUCGGGAUAAGCCUGGGAAACUGGGUCUAAUACCGGAUAGGAGCCAUUUUUAGUGUGAUGGUUGGAAAGUUUUUUCGGUGUAGGAUGAGCUCGCGGCCUAUCAGCUUGUUGGUGGGGUAAUGGCCUACCAAGGCGGCGACGGGUAGCCGGCCUGAGAGGGUGGACGGCCACAUUGGGACUGAGAUACGGCCCAGACUCCUACGGGAGGCAGCAGUGGGGAAUAUUGCACAAUGGGCGCAAGCCUGAUGCAGCGACGCCGCGUGGGGUAUGACGGCCUUCGGGUUGUAAACUCCUUUCGCUAGGGACGAAGCUUUUUGUGACGGUACCUAGAUAAGAAGCACCGGCUAACUACGUG
Molecule: ribosomal RNA, 465 nt
Filed under: uncultured bacterium
Lineage: Bacteria
Description: partial 16S ribosomal RNA
Rfam family: Bacterial small subunit ribosomal RNA
Source: RNAcentral